Molecule: non-coding RNA, 84 nt
Organism: Bombyx mori (domestic silkworm)
Lineage: Eukaryota; Metazoa; Arthropoda; Insecta; Lepidoptera; Bombycidae
Source: Rfam
UUAACUAAUAUUUGUAUGGAGUUGGAACUUUUGCCCACGUUUGCCGCUAGGGGCGCUGUUUCAACUGCAUAAAAAUUUGAGUUA